Molecule: long non-coding RNA, 938 nt
Filed under: Monodelphis domestica (gray short-tailed opossum)
Lineage: Eukaryota; Metazoa; Chordata; Mammalia; Didelphimorphia; Didelphidae
Description: lncRNA (ENSMODG00000036703.1)
Source: RNAcentral
CUCUCUCUUGUCUCUUGGACAUCUGUUUGGGGCAGAUGUGGCUUUUUUUUCAUAAUGUAGGUGAGGUUGUGUCUAGGCCUCUCUAUGGCCUGGACAUGUGUCUCUUAUCCUGUAUUUUCUUUAAUCCUUAAUCUUCAAUAAACCUCUAAAAAAUAUAAUACUCCUUACAGAGAGAAACUAAUUUCUACCUGCCUCAGUCUCCCAUAUAUUCCCUAAAUUUUAAUCUUUACAAUAUGAUAUUCCAGAAAGCAAGGGAACUAGGUCUACAACCAAGAAUAAAAUACCCAUCAAAACUGACUAUAUUCUUACAAGGGAAAGUAUGGUCAUUCAACACAACAAAAGAGUUCCAAGCAUUCAUAAAUAAAAGACCAGACCUGAACAGAAAAUUUGAUGUCUGUCCAACCACAGAACUCAAGAGAAUCAUCAAAAGGUAUUGCAGAAAGUAUAUCUCCCCUCUUCUGAUCGUAGAAUGUCCUAAGGUACUGUAAUUGAUGAUAAAAAAUGGAUCUGCAGAAAAAGCAAGAAGCUUAAAACUCUUGGAACGCCAAUUAUCAGAGGAGGGGAGAAGGAGGAGAGACUGUUCCAAUGGAAUCUUGAAGGGAGCAGUUAGGAAAGUCCAGCUGCUUCACUUCCUUCUCUGGCUGUUGGAUGAGAAGGUGGAAGACAAACUCUCUCUUUGGUUAUUGCUUAUCCAUAAGACUGAGUGCUGAGAAGACUCUUGGGGUUAGCCCAGAAGAAACCUGUCAGCAUUGCUGUCAAUAUCUCCCCUUAGGGAAAGAUAACUUCGUUUCCUGAAUUUGAAUACAUCUUGAAGUCUUCAAUCAACAGGGAUAACUUAGAAAAUUUAGGGAAACCUAUUUUCCUCUCACCCCCUCCCUCUUCUUACCUCCUCUAUCCAAAAGAAUAAAAGACCUCUUAGUUAAAAGAUUUGUUUGUGA